RNAcentral lists this ribosomal RNA (556 nucleotides) under uncultured bacterium. RNAcentral describes it as "bacterial SSU rRNA". It matches the Rfam family "Bacterial small subunit ribosomal RNA", at positions 97 to 670 of the family's 1533-position model. The record is from RNAcentral.
GGCGGACGGGUGCGUAACACGUAAGCAAUCUACCCUCGAGUGGGGGACAACUACGAGAAAUUGUAGCUAAUACCGCAUAAUGUAUUGGGGUAAGGCCCAAAUACCAAAGCCUUCGGGCGCUUGAGGAGGAGCUUGCGGCUUAUCAGGCAGUUGGUGAGGUAACGGCUCACCAAACCUAUGACGGGUAGCUGGUCUGAGAGGAUGAUCAGCCACAUUGGGACUGAGACACGGCCCAGACUUCUACGGAAGGCAGCAGCAGGGAAUUUUGCGCAAUGGGCGAAAGCCUGACGCAGCAACGCCGCGUGGAUGAUAAAGGCCUUCGGGUCGUAAAAUCCUUUUCUUGGGGAAGAAGCUCUGACGGUACCCAAGGAAUAAGCCUCGGCUAAUCACGUGCCAGCAGCCGCGGUGAUACGUGAGAGGCAAGCGUUAUCCGGAUUUAUUGGGCGUAAAGGGCGUGUAGGUGGUUUGGCGAGUCCUUUGUGAAAGCUCUCGGCUCAACCGGGAGAGGUCAAAGGAUACUACCAGACUUGAGGAUAGCAGAGGAAGAUGGAAUUCC